Molecule: ribosomal RNA, 503 nt
Filed under: uncultured bacterium
Lineage: Bacteria
Description: bacterial SSU rRNA
Rfam family: Bacterial small subunit ribosomal RNA
Source: RNAcentral
AGUACGUCAAGGUAGUAGGUUUAGUAUCAGUCGGCUGAGACGACGCUGGCGGCGUGCUUAACACAUGCAAGUCGAACGGUGACGGAGAGCUUGCUCUCCUGAUCAGUGGCGAACGGGUGAGUAACACGUGGGCAACCUGCCCCAGACUUCGGGAUAACGCUUCGAAAGAGGUGCUAAUACCGAAUACGAACCUCCCUGGCAUCUGGGAGGUUGGAAAGUUUUUCGGUCUGGGAUGGGCCCGCGGCCUAUCAGCUUGUUGGUGAGGUAACGGCUCACCAAAGGCGACGACGGGUAGCCGGCCUGAGAGGGCGACCGGCCACACUGGGACUGAGACACGGCCCAGACUCCUACGGGAGGCAGCAGUGGGGAAUAUUGCGCAAUGGGCGAAAGCCUGACGCAGCAACGCCGCGUGAGGGAUGACGGCCUUCGGGUUGUAAACCUCUUUCAGCAGGGAAGAAGCGAAAGUGACGGUACCUGCAGAAGAAGCACCGGCUAACUACGUG